GCUAUUAAAACUGUUAUUUAAAUGUUGUAAGGGUUGGUAUGUUAUAUAUACAAUCUAAGUCUAUGUAAAGACUUUUUGAAAGAUCCUACUGUACAGAAUUCUCCAUAAUUGAAUUCGUGACAAGUACUCAUAAUAUUUGAAACUUGUAUAUUAUUUCUGCGUAUAACCUAUCUUUAUUUUUAUUUUAAUUUUAUUUUUUACUUUAUUUUAUUUUAUUUUAUUUUAUUUUUUCGUAGGUCUUCUGGAACUGCUGGAUCUAUUCAUACAUUGCUAAUUACUCAGCGUACGUACACAUCUUACAAACACGCAGAAGUCCAACCUAAAACACUUACCUACAUACAACAUAAUAUCAGAAAUACACGCAACGAUUUAGCUUCAUCAAAGAUAUAUUAUUUAUUCAUUCAUCGGUUAAUAUAAAAUAAGCUUGAGUUAAGAGUGAAAUAAGAUUCAUGGCACUAUACACAAACUCACCAUUUUUACUACAUAUUGCUAACAUCAUAUUUGCUUAAAAAGCACGCACUCCAUGAUAUACCAAUAACAUCCUACUUUCCGUCCAUCCUUUCCCAUUCCCCAAACUAUCGAUACGUUUCUUAACGAUACGAUAACACAAAAUACAAAACUACACAGCAGUACUUUAAGUAUCGUCUUGCUCGGUUUAUUCCAGACCCAUUUCCUUGUUACCCUUCUUCAGAGCCCCGCACGUGAUUGGUUAAGUUCAAUCAUGCAAAGUGAUGCAAUGACGUCAUCUGUUUGAAACAGGUGGAAGUGUGGCACUAGGAAUUUACAACUUACCCUUUACUUACAACAUAAGAAGAAAGAAACUACUU
This is a non-coding RNA of Schizosaccharomyces pombe (fission yeast), 827 nucleotides long. The record is from the annotation of a GenBank genome assembly. Lineage: Eukaryota; Fungi; Ascomycota; Schizosaccharomycetes; Schizosaccharomycetales; Schizosaccharomycetaceae.